AGCGAACGCUGGCGGCAGGCCUAACACAUGCAAGUCGAACGGAUCCUUCGGGAUUAGUGGCGGACGGGUGAGUAACACGUGGGAACGUGCCCUUUGGUUCGGAACAACUCAGGGAAACUUGAGCUAAUACCGGAUGUGCCCUUCGGGGGAAAGAUUUAUCGCCAUUGGAGCGGCCCGCGUCUGAUCAGCUAGUUGGUGAGGUAAAGGCUCACCAAGGCCACGAUCAGUAGCUGGUCUGAGAGGAUGAUCAGCCACAUUGGGACUGACACACGGCCCAAACUGCUACGGGAGGCAGCAGUGGGGAAUCUUGCGCAAUGGGCGAAAGCCUGACGCCGCCAGGCCGCGUGAAUGAUGACGGUCUUAGGAUUGUAAAAUUCUUUCACCGGGGACGAUAAUGACGGUACCCGGAGAAGAAGCCCCGGCUAACUUCGUGCCAGCAGCCGCCGUAA
RNAcentral lists this ribosomal RNA (449 nucleotides) under uncultured bacterium. RNAcentral describes it as "partial 16S ribosomal RNA". It matches the Rfam family "Bacterial small subunit ribosomal RNA", at positions 29 to 523 of the family's 1533-position model. The record is from RNAcentral.